This 79-nucleotide transfer RNA is filed under the name Minisyncoccota bacterium. RNAcentral's name for it is "tRNA-Pro". It matches the Rfam family "tRNA". Rfam says of the family: Transfer RNA (tRNA) molecules are approximately 80 nucleotides in length. The record is from RNAcentral. Lineage: Bacteria; Bacillati; Minisyncoccota.
CGGCGAUUAGCUCAGUCUGGUAGAGCGCUUGUUUUGGGAACAAGAGGUUUCGCAAGUUCAAAUCCUGCAUCGCCGACCA